GCCCACUCAAAAGAAUCACUAUUGAAAAACUCGCUUGGAAGAUAGAUUGCACCGGUUGAAUUAAAAGGCUUGAAAGAGAGAACAUCCUCGAAAGAUCUUGAACGAAAGUAGAGUGGAAACACGAAUCUUCUAGAUAUCUUGAGCACUCCGGAACAAUUGAAUAGCGAGAAAUGAAUUAAUAUGAAGAGUACCGGCAUGAGAAGGUAUUUGAAACGAGGAAAGGAUAUGAUAUGAUCAACAAAGCUUGAAUUGAAAACACCAGAGAAAAAAAUUUAAGAAUGAUGAACGUGUAGAGCAUCUUCACGAGAACCACCGGGUAAGAAUAUUGAUGGAACAGAAUGGGGAGACUUCAUAUCCAUAAGAUGGAUGCUUGAUUAAGACAUCUGAGUCCUUGAGGGAAAAAAGGGUGGGCGGGCGGGAAAAACAAAGGCAGCUUGGGACGAAUGAAACAAACAACAUUGAGAAGAACUGAUAAUUGAUCUUGCGAAUGUUGACGUGAUCGGAUCCACUUGAAGAGAGACACACCGGUUGAACAAAAUUGGCAUGACAAUCUCGAUUAUCAAGAAGGAUUAGUAUUCGCAUAGGAAUAUGAGAACACCGCUUAGAAAAGUUAUGGAAUUAGCAUUUGACUUCGAAGCAACUCGAAUACCACAACUCCAAACAAACACAAAGGAUUGCCUUGAAGAAUAAGCCGGAACAAACAUAUGAUUGAGAUUUCGUCUGAAGUUUCAUGGUGGGGCCCACACGGGCUUGAUCGUACAACACCAUCAUGUACAAGGAAGUGCACAUGACAUACGAAGCGUCCCCGAGUCGGCAUAGCCAAGGACUAUUUAAGACAUAACGAGACCAUUGUAAAACCAACCGUGAAUAGGUGGACCACUAGACGUCGAACACCAAUUUCAUAUCAUACAUCUGUCGGAAAGAUAUCCUAAGAGCUACUUGAAUUCCCACUUAUAAACUCCUGAAACUUUCCGGUUAUGCAAUCAGGUGUUGGGGAUACAGGGGAAGCAUAAUAUCUCACCCAAAACUAGCAAAUCCUACAUCCAGUUGUAUCAAUCCUUCAACACAUAACCAAGAAACCUUCGGAAAUCGUCUACCUCAACCUUCGAAAAGCAUCCGUUAUACGAGUUAUGGUGAUACUCCAAAUUCCUGCCACAGUACUGGGUGGCGUCGAGGUUAUCUCACCAACAACUGCAUAAAAGAGAUUUUCGAUGUUGGCAAAAAAAACUCAGGUAUUCUAGAAUUGCAACGAUAAAAUUGUGACGAAAACACCUCGGAGGUCAACUCCCCGAGACACUGCCACAACCCCUAAAUGUCAGGAGGCACCAAGAACAAUGUUCUCGUCACAAAACCAUCGGAAUGAUUCCAAGAUACCCGCGUGAUCCUAAAUUUUUUUUGUGAAGUUUGAGAAGAGAAGAGUCAAAACUCUACGUCGGGAUGCCUCACCAGAGCGACGAAGGGACUAUGGAGUAAAAAGAAUCCCUAAUCUCAGAUAUAUAUAAUCCUAAAUGACUCAAAACAUUUUUCUAGACUCAACAACGCCAAUGAUUCGAUCAAGCAGGGGGCUCCUAAGUCGGGGAAGGCUCUGAUUACCAACUUGUAACGCCCACGAUGCGGCUAUAUCUCCCACGUGUUGAAGCACGACUUAGAGGCAUAACCGCAUUGUAAGCAAUGUCGCAAGUGAGAUAAUCUUCACACAACCCAUGUAAUACAUAAGGGAAAGAGAUACAUAGUUGGCUUACAAUCGCCACUUCACACAAUUACAUGAAUAAAGCAUUACAUCAACCAGAUACAAUCAAGGUCCGACUACGGAACCAAAAUAAAAGAAGACUACCCCAAAUGCUACAUAGAUCGCCGAUCGUCCCAACUGGGCUCCACUACUGAUCAACGGGAAAUGGAACAAUAUAACGAACACGAUCUUCAUCGAGCUCCUCCUUGAGCUCGGUUGCGUCACCUGCACGGCAUCAUCGGCACCUGCAAGCUGGUUUUGGAAGUAAUCUAUGAGUCACGGGGACUCAGCAAUCUCACACCCUCGCGAUCAAGACUAUUUAUUCUUAUAGGAAGGGUAAAAGUAUGAGGUGGAGCUGCAGCUAGCGACUAGCAUAUUUGGUGGCUAACAUACGCAAAGGAGAGCGAGAAGAGAGAGGCAAAGGCACGAUCGAGAAAGUAUGAUCAAGAAGUGAUCCUAGAUCAACCUACGAUCAAGCAUAACUCCAACACCAUGUUCACUUCCCGGACCCCGCUGAGAAGAGACCAUCACGGUAACACACACGGUUGAUGCAUUUUAAUUAAGAUAAACUUCAAGUUUUUUACAACCGGACAUUAACAAAUUCCCAUCCGCCCAUAACCGCGGGCACGGCUUUCAAAAGUUCAAAACCCUGCAGGAGUGUCCCAACUUAGCCCAUCACAAGCUCUCACGGUCAACGAAGGAUAUUCCUUCUCCCAAGAUAAUCCGAUCAGACUCGACAUCCUAGUUACAAGACAUCCUCGACAAUGGUAAAACAAGUCCAGCAACACCGCCCGAAUGUGCCGACAAAUCCCGAUAGGAGCUGCACAUAUCUCGUUCUCAGGGCACACUCAGAUGAGACAUCCUACGAGUAAAAUGAAGCCUCAAGUUGCCCUGAGGUGGCCCCGCAGUCUACUCGGUCGGACCAACACUUAGAGGAGCACUAGCCCAGGGGGGGUUUAAAUAAAGAUGACCCUUGAGUUUGCGGAACCCAAGGGAAAAAGAGGCUAGGUGGCGAAUGGUAAAACCAAUGUUGGGCAUUGCUGGAGGAGUUUUAUUCAAGGCAAACUGUCAAGGGGUUCCCAUUAUAACCCAACAGUGUAAGGAACGCAAAAUUCGGGAACAUAACACCGAUAUGACGGAAAACUAGGGCGGCAAGAGUGGAACAAAACACCAGGCAUAAGGCCGAGCCUUCCACCCUUUACCAAGUAUAUAGAUGCAUUAAUUAAAUAAGAGAUAUUGUGAUAUCCCAACAAAAUAUCCGUGUUCCAACAAGGAACAAACUCCAAUCCUCACCUGCAACUAGCAACGCUAUAAGAGGGGCUGAGCAAAGCGGUAACAUAGCCAAACAACGUUUUGCUAGGACAAGGUGGGUUAGAGGCUCAUGGCAAUAUGGGAGGCAUGAUAAGCAAGUGGUAAGUAUCACAGCAUAGGCAUAGAAAAAAGAGCGAGCAACUAGCAAGCAAAGAUAGAAGUGAUUUCGAGGGUAUGGUCAUCUUGCCCGAGAUCCCGCAAGGAAGAAGAACAAGUCCAUGAAGAAGACAAACGGUCGUAGUCGAACGGAUCCUCACAAACACGACAUUAUCGGAACCAACCCGAAGAAGCACACCGGAAAGAAGCAAACAACAUAGUAAACAACCACCACAUCAACAUAGCAUGAUGCACAAUCGGGUAUGAUGCAUGACCGGUUUAAUGAAGCAUGGCAUGGAAAAAUGCACAGACAAUCCUACAAAUUAAGUGGAGCUCAAUAUGCAACUCCGUUGCAUAUUGACGAAACACCACAUUCAAGUUAUUUAGUUCGAUCUCAUUUAUUUACCCAACAAUAUUAAAUGUUGUUAAACAUGGCAAGAGGGUGAAGAAAAGUAAAACUACCUAUCUAGUCAAGUUUCAAUGAGGCCGGAAACAACGAACAACAAUCCCGGAAAAUCCUCAUAUGCAUAUAUUAGGUUUGGUACUGUUCUGCCCUAAACCAUAUUUUAUAGUUGUUAAACAUGCAAAGUGAUGCCACCAUGUUAAACUAGGCAUUUUUCUACCCCAUUUACAUAUAAAGAUUGAUUAAAUCCGAGCUACGAUUAAAUAGUUAAGAAUUAAAUCAUUUUAGCAAGUUAUUCAAGCAAAUUUAAACAAACAAACUUUUAAGCAUUUUAAACAUGGAUUAAAAUGACAUACUCCCUCCGUUCCUAUAUAUAGGGUGUAUAGUUUUUGGCACAGAAAUUAAAGAACACACAUGGAGGAAAAUUUUCACAAGUUUUGGGCGAGAUUACACCUGAUUAAUUGGCAUGCGAAAAUAGAGGAGGUUGCCUAAUAUAAGGAAAUGUAAUCAAAUCCCUAAAAAAAUUAUCCAAACGUGUGGUGCAACGCAAUUCACCUUAUAUUUCGGGUUUUUUCUCAAAAAUCUAUACACCAUAUAUCAAGGAACGGAGGGAGUAUUAUGAAACUAGAUGAAAAACUAAGCAUAUUUCAUAUAUAAAUUAUUUUAAUAUGAUGCACGGUUGGUGAGUUAUGAAAUGCAUGCACUAGAGGGACUAAUAUGUAAAACAACAGUUUUUUUGAAAAUAGCUAAAUUACAGCAGCAGGAAAAAAACUACUAGGCCGAGUCUGAAAUAGGGCAGGCGCUGGGGCGGCUCACCCAUGGGCUUCAGCUCGUUUGUGGAGAGGCUUGUGGAUCUGGCGGCCCAUGGCGAUGGCAACGCAGAGGCGGGCGCUGGGCCUUACCGGUCUGGGCCGUGUGCAGGCUGUAGUGGGCCACAAGCGCGAAGAGGAAGCAGGGAGCGAUGCGGUCAACGAGUGCGGUGAGGCCCUCGUCUCCUUGUUCGAAUCAGGGGAAGCAGGGCGACGGCGCGAGAGGAACCGGGCGGAGGUGAGGAACCCUUGGCGUGAAUCCAUGGCGGCGCCGGACGCUGAUGACGGGGCGCAGGGGUCCAGGACCAGUGAGGAGGAGAGGGGCGGCCAAUGUUCCUGGGGCUUGGCCGGCUCAUUGAAGACGAGAAGCAGCGGGUCAACGCAGGCGGCGGCUCGCUGCAACGCAGAGACGAGGCGGGGACGGACUUGGUGCAGCGGAGCUCGGGGCCAUGGCGAGCGGAGCACCUGUGAAGGGGAAGAGAGAGGUCAGGGACGGGCAAGAGGAGAGGAAGCACGGGAAGGAGAGGGGCGGCACUGUUCCUGGUGGACGAGAGAGGAGGCAGGGGCUUCGGGAGAGCGAGGAGGAUCUCCACUCCUCUAGAUCGAAGAGGGAGGAGGAAACUCUCGAUCGAGACGGCGGGGUAUUCUGGCGGCUUCAAACCAAAGAGCUCGGGCUGGAGCAACGGUUGGUGGGAGGAGGAAUGGGAGGAUGCCGAUGUGGAUUCGGUGGAGUAGCGGCAACGAUGGGACAAACCCCCUAGAUUUUAGGGUUGCUGCCUAGGUCUAUAUAUAACACACUGGAUUUUGGUUAGGGGCUAUCUGGAGCCUCCGAUCAAAAUCGAAUGGUUCAGAAAGAAUAGGAUGGGGAGUCCAAAUAGUAGAACGGUGAUAUUUUGUAGAUGUUUGGGGGUGUUCCGCACCCAACGGUGAUGACUAUCCGGGUCGGGUUCAGGACAGUUUCGGACACGCAUGCGAGGGGUCGAUUGGAACUUGUGGGCUGUGCAGAAGGGCUCGAGCUGAGAAAAAAGAAGAGAGAGAGGCCCGGCGACUGUUUCGGAGACCGAAAACGUCCGACGAAAAGACCGACUACUAUUGCCGCUAUAUUUAUCCGUUGGGGCAUCAAUCGAUCUCCGAAUGCGAUGAAAUUUGGCAGGCGGUCUAUCUACAGUAUAAUAAGACCGCACGCCAACUUUCAGCCCAUUCCGAGAACAUUUUAUGGCCACUUAUAAAAUAAUAUUUCGGACAUGCCGCGGGCGCGUGCAAAUGUGGUUGGGUUCAGAACGGACAACAGACGGAACUGGGGAACCCGGACAGAUGAAAGUUUUGAAAACAUGAUGAUGCAAUGCAGAUGAUGACAUGAUCAAAAGCAACACACAAGCGAAUGACAUGGCAAUGACGAAUAACUAGAAGACACCUAGCGCAAUGGUCUCGGGGCGUCACAACACUCCACCACUACGAGAGGAUCUCGUCCCGAGAUCUAGAAUGGCACCGGAGGGAAAAAGGAAGAGGAAGAGAACAGGUAAAACUAAGUUGCUUCUUGACAAAAGAGUAAACCAAAGAACCUUGCGAGGUUAAAAAAAUUGAAAUAAGGAAGCCAACAAAGAUGCAAGAAGUUGAGAACACUCCGAUAGAUAAGAGGAACAUGGGAUACGAUGAGAAUCUAUAAGUUAAGUGGCAAGAUAGAUAUUGAAACCACUUCGGUUAAAACAAGAUAGAGAAGGAAUAAGACUGAUAUAAUUUGGGCAGCACUCCGACUGCAAAUGGAAGGAAAUAAACUUGAAUUUGGGAAGAUUGGAUGAUACUUGAUGAAAACAACAACACACUGCCUCCAGAUUUAUUGAAAGAAUGGCACAAAGGGUAAGAAAGAUUUCAGGCUGCACUUCGGUUGAGAAGGGAGGCAAAACUUGAUAAUAUGAGAAAACUUGAAAAGAGGGCACGACACUUCGGUUAAAUGGAUAAGCACGAAAAGAACAUGAUCUUGGCAAAACGAGAUGAUAGGACGAAGAGAACAACAUCACCAUGCCUCCGGAACAAAUGAAUGAAAAACUAGAUGGUUGGAAAGAAAAGAAAAACGGAGAAGAAGAAUGACAACUCUCGCAAAUAAAAUUGAAAGAGCAUGCUUACGAAGAACAGGUUGAACGGAGUUGUUGGAUUAUCAACAACGAAAAGAACAAGGUUGAUAUGGACUUAUAGAAGACAUAUCAAAAUUAUGAGGUGACAACUUGCCACUCACGGAAAAGAUUUUAUUGGGAGCUAGAAAAAGAUAGAAAUCUUCUUCCACCGAGGUGAUAAGGAUAAAACUUGGAUCAUAGGUAAUCACCACAAAGAGCAACAUUCCCAAUGGAAGGCUUUAGGUGAUAUUUAUACCAAGAUAACUCCAUGGAAGAAAGUGAUGGGUUUAAAAUAUCUCAUUCUUGAUAACUUGUGAAUCAUGAAGCACACAGAAAUUGUCAAAAAUGACAUAAUACCACCUCAAAAUAUAAGAUAGAGCGAAUUGGACUUUGAGAUACUAGAUGAAGAAUCCUUGAGCUCCUCUAAAAAGAAUGUUGAUGAACACUUCGAGAAGGAAUUAAAUCCUUGAUGAACCAUCAUGUAGAACCUUCAUGGAGAACUCCGUUAAACAAAAGAAUGAUCAAACGGAAGGAAAGAGAAGUUGAAAACACAGGGUGAAGCCUUGCGAUGAUUUAGAUGGAACUUCACGACGAGAUAAUUGAGAGAGCUUGGAACUCUGGAAAAGAAAGAAGAACAACUGAAAUCAAGAAUUUGAUGAGCCUCCGGAAUAAGGAAUUAAUCAUUUGGGUGAAACAAGAAUAAGAAUUAUGUUAUGCGCAUCCUCCACCAAUUAAAUUGAUGAGAAUCAACGGAUUUGGCAUACUACUUAUACUCGUAGAAAGGAUUAAGAGAGAUAUAAUCAAACUUGAGAAGGUCUUCAACGAACCACCGGUCGGGUUGAAACAACUAAUAAAUUGAUAUGAUAGCCAUGGAAGAGAAUCCUGGAAGAAAACACCGUAAUAAUUUAAAAUGAAUGAAUAAAAGAGAUGAAUCACCGGUAAGAAAUUGAAAAUGAACAAAGAUACUUGAGACAAUCUAGAUACGUGAGAACGAAGGGAUCAUGAACCGAUUAGAGAUCACUUGAACAAUGCACCGAUAAGAUUGGAGAAUGAUAACUGAUAGCUGAGAAUGAAUAAACCUGAAUUGAUGGACUCCGGAUAACAAACUGAGAAGACUCUUGAAUUGCUUCGGAUGGGUGAAAAGAAUUCCCACAAUCGAAAAUAAUUAUGAGAGGAUGGCAACAAGCUAGAAUCACGAAUCUCUGAGAGAACGAACAAGAUUUGGAGGUAAAACUCUUCUUCGGUCUUCAAAUGUUGAGAAUGACGAUGAGAAACACCCCCAAGAAUUAUUGAGGCACUCCGGAAUAAGAAUGGAAAAGGUUGAGCCAACGAUGAAAAGAAUUUGAAAGAUCUUGGAGAAAGACAUUUGACUGAUGAUAAUUCAUUCUUACGUCAAACUUCGAAAAGAAUUUGAGAGUAACUCCAUGGAAGAUUAGAAGAGUCAGGUAAGAUCCUGGGAAAGGACCUGUGGGUUAGGGCGCACUCAAAAGAAACACCGUUGAAAAACUCUCUUGGAAGAUAGAUUGCACCGGUUGAAUUAAAAGGCUUGAAUGAGAGAACAUCCUCGAAAGAUCUUAAACGAAAGUAGCAUGGGAACACGAAUCUUCUAGAUAUCUUGAGCACUCCGGAACAAUUGAAUAGCGAGAAAUGAAUUAAUAUGAAUAGUACCGGCAUGAGAAGGUAUUUGAAACGAGGAAAGGAUAUGAUCAACAAAGCUUGAAUUGAAAACAC
Molecule: long non-coding RNA, 8190 nt
Filed under: Triticum aestivum (bread wheat)
Lineage: Eukaryota; Viridiplantae; Streptophyta; Magnoliopsida; Poales; Poaceae
Description: long non-coding RNA (TAES_LNC001545)
Source: RNAcentral